UAGGGAAUCUUCGGCAAUGGACGAAAGUCUGACCGAGCAACGCCGCGUGCGUGAUGAAGGUAUUCGGAUCGUAAAACUCUGUUGUUAGAGAAGAACAAGGACGUUAGUAACUGAACGUCCCCUGACGGUAUCUAACCAGAAAGCCACGGCUAACUACGUGCCAGCAGCCGCGGUAAUACGUAGGUGGCAAGCGUUGUCCGGAUUUAUUGGGCGUAAAGCGAGCGCAGGCGGUUUCUUAAGUCUGAUGUGAAAGCCCCCGGCUCAACCGGGGAGGGUCAUUGGAAACUGGGAGACUUGAGUGCAGAAGAGGAGAGUGGAAUUCCAUGUGUAGCGGUGAAAUGCGUAGAUAUAUGGAGGAACACCAGUGGCGAAGGCGGCUCUCUGGUCUGUAACUGACGCUGAGGCUCGAAAGCGUGGGGAGCAAACAGG
This 429-nucleotide ribosomal RNA is filed under the name Gemmatimonadota bacterium. Its description in RNAcentral is "Gemmatimonadetes bacterium partial 16S ribosomal RNA". It matches the Rfam family "Bacterial small subunit ribosomal RNA", at positions 355 to 776 of the family's 1533-position model. Lineage: Bacteria; Pseudomonadati; Gemmatimonadota. The record is from RNAcentral.